UUUUUCUCUAUUAAUAACUGUUAACUCAUCAUUUACAUAUUAAUUAUUAAUUAACAAUAUACAUCAUUCUAAAUAAAUAGCUGAUGGAUAGGGAUGAAAUACUAUUAUUGUUUUCUUUAUGUAAUGAGCUCUAUUAUUGUUCGCUUUUGGCUUCGAUUCAAUUUUCAUUUAUCAAUUAUUUAAAGGAAAGUUUGUGAUGUACAUUGAGACAUCCAAUUUGCACGAGGGCCUCUGUUUUGUUAUCUUGUGUUUUUUAUCUCUUGGCAGAAAUUCAUUACAUUUUUUCUUUUAUUUUCUUCUUCUUCAAUGACAUUAUAGCUUCUCCUUUUAAUAAUUGCCACUCCUACUUCAAUGACAACAUUAGACAAUAAUAAUCAUAUUUUCAUUCUAGAAUGAUAUGCAUCAAAGGAAGAAAAGAUCCUUCUUAUUAUUGACAAAUCAUGUACUUUGAAUUAUUAUUGUUCUGUUUAUCUGAGUCAUGUGCUUAUGAAUUAUUAUUGGCAACUGAAUCUAGACAAUUAUUCAUUCUAAUAAUUUAAAGUCUUAUACUAUAAUAGCACUUAAUUAUUUUUU
Molecule: long non-coding RNA, 573 nt
Filed under: Arachis ipaensis
Lineage: Eukaryota; Viridiplantae; Streptophyta; Magnoliopsida; Fabales; Fabaceae
Description: long non-coding RNA (AIPA_LNC002603)
Source: RNAcentral